GAUGAACGCUGGCGGCGUGCCUAAUACAUGCAAGUCGAGCGAACAGACGAGGAGCUUGCUCCUCUGACGUUAGCGGCGGACGGGUGAGUAACACGUGGAUAACCUACCUAUAAGACUGGGAUAACUUCGGGAAACCGGAGCUAAUACCGGAUAAUAUAUUGAACCGCAUGGUUCAAUAGUGAAAGACGGUUUUGCUGUCACUUAUAGAUGGAUCCGCGCCGCAUUAGCUAGUUGGUAAGGUAACGGCUUACCAAGGCGACGAUGCGUAGCCGACCUGAGAGGGGGAUCGGCCACACGGGAACUGAGACACGGUCCAGACUCCUACGGGAGGCAGCAGUAGGGAAUCUUCCGCAAUGGGCGAAAGCCUGACGGAGCAACGCCGCGUGAGUGAUGAAGGUCUUCGGAUCGUAAAACUCUGUUAUUAGGGAAGAACAAAUGUGUAAGUAACUAUGCACGUCUUGACGGUACCUAAUCAGAAAGCCACGGCUAACUACGUG
Molecule: ribosomal RNA, 497 nt
Filed under: uncultured bacterium
Lineage: Bacteria
Description: partial 16S ribosomal RNA
Rfam family: Bacterial small subunit ribosomal RNA
Source: RNAcentral